AGUGAACGCUGGCGGUAGGCCUAACACAUGCAAGUCGAACGGCAGCACAGUAAUAGCUUGCUCUUACGGGUGGCGAGUGGCGGACGGGUGAGGAAUACAUCGGAAUCUACUUUUUCGUGGGGGAUAACGUAGGGAAACUUACUCUAAUACCGCAUACGACCUACGGGUGAAAGCAGUGGAUCUUCGGACCUUGCGCGAUUGAAUUAGCCGAUGUCGGAGUAGAUAGUUGGGGGGGUAAAGGCCCACCAAGGCGACGAUCCGUAGCUGGGCUGAGAGGAUGAUCAGCCACACUGGAAGUGAGCCACGGUCCAGACUCCUACGGGAGGCAGCAGUGGGGAAUAUUGGACAAUGGGCGCAAGCCUGAUCCAGCCAUACCGCGUGGGUGAAGAAGGCCUUCGGGUUGUAAAGCCCUUUUGUUGGGAAAGAAAAGCAGCAGGUUAAUACCCCGCUGUUCUGACGGUACCCAAAGAAUAAGCACCGGCUAACUUCGUG
This 492-nucleotide ribosomal RNA is filed under the name uncultured bacterium. RNAcentral's name for it is "partial 16S ribosomal RNA". It matches the Rfam family "Bacterial small subunit ribosomal RNA", at positions 29 to 507 of the family's 1533-position model. The record is from RNAcentral.